Molecule: small RNA, 114 nt
Filed under: unclassified sequences
Description: LOOT RNA
Rfam family: LOOT RNA
About the family: Latescibacteria, OD1/Parcubacteria, OP11, TM7. Lineage (Microgenomates, aka OP11)
Source: Rfam by way of RNAcentral
AGCCUAAAACUCAAUUUAAAGUUGAGCAUGGUAGUAAAACCAUCUACGGGAACGGAAGCUCUCCGUUCAGCAACCGUAGAUGGUAAUAUCUCGAAAGAGAUAUUGGCGCAAGCC